AGGUUCGGCGUGGGCACUACGUAAAGGGACUGCCGGUAGUUAAACCGGAGGAAGGUGGGGAUGACGUCAAGUCCUCAUGGCCUUUAUGACCAGGGCUACACACGUACUACAAUGGCCGAUACAAAGGGCAGCGACACUGCGAGGUGAAGCCAAUCCCGUAAAAUCGGUCUCAGUCCGGAUUGGAGUCUGCAACUCGACUCCAUGAAGUUGGAAUCGCUAGUAAUCGUGGAUCAGCAUGCCACGGUGAAUACGUUCCCGGGCCUU
RNAcentral lists this ribosomal RNA (264 nucleotides) under uncultured Desulfobulbus sp. Its description in RNAcentral is "partial 16S ribosomal RNA". It matches the Rfam family "Bacterial small subunit ribosomal RNA", at positions 1123 to 1382 of the family's 1533-position model. The record is from RNAcentral. Lineage: Bacteria; Pseudomonadati; Thermodesulfobacteriota; Desulfobulbia; Desulfobulbales; Desulfobulbaceae.